This 466-nucleotide ribosomal RNA is filed under the name uncultured bacterium. RNAcentral describes it as "partial 16S ribosomal RNA". It matches the Rfam family "Bacterial small subunit ribosomal RNA", at positions 28 to 506 of the family's 1533-position model. The record is from RNAcentral.
GACGAACGCUGGCGGCGUGCUUAACACAUGCAAGUCGAACGGAAAGGCCUCUUUCGGGGGGUACUCGAGUGGCGAACGGGUGAGUAACACGUGAGUAACCUGCCCUUGACUUUGGGAUAACUUCAGGAAACUGGGGCUAAUACCGGAUAGGAGCUCCUGCUGCAUGGUGGGGGUUGGAAAGUUUCGGCGGUUGGGGAUGGACUCGCGGCUUAUCAGCUUGUUGGUGGGGUAGUGGCUUACCAAGGCUUUGACGGGUAGCCGGCCUGAGAGGGUGACCGGCCACAUUGGGACUGAGAUACGGCCCAGACUCCUACGGGAGGCAGCAGUGGAGAAUAUUGCACAAUGGGUGGGAGCCUGAUGCAGCAACGCCGUGUGCGGGAUGACGGCCUUCGGGUUGUAAACCGCUUUCGCUGAUGACGAAGCUUUGUGUGACGGUAGUGGGGAAAGAAGCACCGGCUAACUACGG